Molecule: transfer RNA, 76 nt
Filed under: Gluconobacter oxydans
Lineage: Bacteria; Pseudomonadati; Pseudomonadota; Alphaproteobacteria; Acetobacterales; Acetobacteraceae
Also listed under: 7 other names
Description: tRNA-Glu
Rfam family: tRNA
About the family: Transfer RNA (tRNA) molecules are approximately 80 nucleotides in length.
Source: RNAcentral
GUCCCGUUCGUCUAGAGGCCUAGGACACUGCCCUUUCACGGCGGCAACACGGGUUCGAAUCCCGUACGGGACGCCA